AAAACACCGAGGGGCAAUCGCGCAAAUUACCCAUUUAGGGUGAAAACGCGCGGACCCAACCUGCGGGUCGGGUCGACGCGCGGACCCACCCCCAAACCAAAAGGUGUCGUUCUGUCCUUAGGUUUUAAAACAGUUUUCUUCCUUUUUUUAAAAAAAAUAUUUGUAGUAGAAAGAAAAAUAAAUAAAAAAUAAAAAAAACAAAUGCUCUCUGCUAGGGUUUCUUCUUAACCCAUUUUGCGCCGCCGUUCGCUUAUGCCAACACUCCGAUCGCGACGGAGAUGGCAACCAUCCAACGAUUUCAACGAAAAAGGUAAAAUCCCUUUCCUCCUUUCUUUUCUUCGUAUUUUUAAGCGGAAUAAAUAAAUAAAAAUAAAAUAAAAAAUGAAACUACGAAUGAAGAAUACCAAAUGGAAAAAAAAUAACCUUCUGUGUUAAAAAAUUUUGUAUCUC
This 450-nucleotide long non-coding RNA is filed under the name Gossypium raimondii (Peruvian cotton). Its description in RNAcentral is "long non-coding RNA (GRAI_LNC008362)". Lineage: Eukaryota; Viridiplantae; Streptophyta; Magnoliopsida; Malvales; Malvaceae. The record is from RNAcentral.